CAAAAUAAUAAUUCUUCCAUGGUAUCCUCACUUUCUAAAAAUCAUAUACCUGGUUUGGACCUAAUUACUAAUACUGAAUGCAAUACCAAAGGAUUUCUGAAUGUCUCAAAGAUUAUACCACAAAAUCAAACCGAACCGAUUCAAACACCUGACGACAAGCCAUUUAAUUUUCCCAAAAGCAAUACAACCUCUGCAAUUAUAAACCAACAACCAGUUAGUAUGCCUCUUAACAAUAUCCACCAAUCAACUACAUCCAUGUUUCAGAAUUCUUAUAGUUGGUCAAAGUUUAACAAUCCUGUAUCCUAUUAUGAUAAAAAUCCAGUGGAUGUGAAUGAUGCACCAUCAUCUAGAUUUGGUCAACAAAAUGAUAUUAAUGCUCGACCACCAUAUGAUGAAGAAAUAUCUAAUACUUCUUACAAUAGUUCUCAAAAUGCUACUAAUAAUAUGAACUAUAGAAGACCACUAGAAGGAUCAUAUAUUAAUAAACUGAUAAACGAAAGUAGUAGUACAAUGUACAAUAAGGGUCCAGAUGACCAACUUUAUAAUAGAAAUUUUAAUACACAAACUAGUAAUUUUCGAGGUUAUCAACCAAAUAUUUCCAAUAAUAAUAAUUUCAACAGAUCACCGGAAAACAUUCCAUAUCAACAUCAAAAACCAUUGAAUCUAACACAUUCGAAACCGCCUUCUUUGUUGAGUUUAAAUGUGGUUAAACCAAUUACACUAGGUAAGAAUUUAAAAUUACACUGUUUACAAAAUAUUUAUUUUUUAUAUUUCUGAACAUCAGAAUUUAUAAUAAAUUAUUAUUUAUUCUCAUAUAUUUUACCGACUGGUAUUAUUUUUGGUAUAUUAUUAUGAUUUUAUUUACCUGUUAGCAGAAAUUUUGACAAUUUAGAAAAUAAUAUCACUUUUGUAGUUUCUUGGGCAAUUACCCAAUAUAAUACUAAAGAACAUGGAGUUUACUUUGUGCAAAUAAUAUAGUAUUAUACUAAUUUACUAUUCUGUAUUAAUACAAAUACACGCCUUGUCCUAAUAUUAUCAAUCAUUAUUUUGUUACCGUAUUAUGUAUUGUCAAUUUUGCCAGUAACAUACCUACAACAUGACAUUUUAAAUUCCAUUAAUUUCAUAUUUUAGGUUCUGAUGGGAGCGAGGAAUAUAUAGGUUUUAUAGUGAUGUUUAUUUUAUUUUUGUAUUUUUUUCUGUGAAUAACUUAUCUACCAACAAUUUUAAGGGAGAUCAUUUUUUGAUUUUCCUAGGAGUUUUCAUAAUAAAUAGGAAAUACGGGAAAAUAUACAAAAUGUAUUAUUUUUAAAUUGUAAACUUUACAGCCUUUUAAAACAUCUAUAACCAAACUUCGCUCAGAAUUGUUUUUCGUAAACAAAUAUUAAUUAUUGCGUACAGAUAUAAAUUAAAUUCCCCUCAAUAUCCUACCUUCCCAACUUCUCACCUACAACAGUGACCCUCUCAUUGUAUGAAGAAUAUCCGUCAUUUUAAAUAUAAUUAUAUACAUUUACUUUUUAUUGUUUUAGAUAAACCUGGAAAUUACUUGGAAAAUAAGAACGAUUUACCAAAUAGGUAAUAAUUUUUAAUAGAUGUUUAAUAUGAGUUGGCGAUUAUUUGUAUUUUUCUAAAUUAUUAGGUAUGAAAGAAAUUGGAAUAUUGCUGAUGAUGAAGAAGAUCCGGAAAAUGAAUACAUGGAAGCACAUAAAAAAUUUAGUUCUGAACCAUUUGAUGAUCAAUAUGAUGAUCAAUUUUCAAACCAACAGCAUAGAAAUUCAUAUUAUGAUAAUGAUAAUUAUUCUAGAGGACAUCAGGGGCCUAGAGACUACAAUGAUGACUAUCCUAGAUCUUUGAAUCAAUCAAGUGGACCUCAAAUACCGAAGAAUAUGGACAUUGAAUACCCUAGACCGAAUUCUCAAUUCUCUAGAAAUGUUAACCAAAGUUACCCUCACGAUUUGCAAACACCAAAAAAGAAAGACAGUGAUUAUUAUAAAUCUACAAAUAAUAUUAAAAGUAUAGAUCAAGGAUUUUCCAGGGAAGUGCCUAAUUUAAGAGAUGUCAAUGGUGAGUAUUCUAAUGAAUCCACUGUUGAUAAAAACAAAUUUAUUUCACCAAAAGGGAACUAUGGACUUCCUCCAAGAAGAAAUUAUGAACCGUCUAGAAGUAAUUUUGGUAAUAAUUUAAAUAAGACAAAUAUAGAAUGGGAUAAUAAAGACUAUACACAAAAUGAGGCACCUCAACAGUCUGUAAAAGAUAUCAUAAUUCCACCUCUUGUUCAACAGCCAGCAAUUGAUUGCACACCAAUUGAUCCAGUAAAAAUAUUUGAUUAUCGUCAUUUACCCACAUUAAAAGUAAUUCCAGGUAAUAUUACAUUUGAAUUUUAUGAAAAAAUAAUUACUGUAAACUCUAAUUAUUUAAUAAUAACUUAGUAUUUAUAUUUAGGAAUAUCAAAAGAAACUGUGAUCCCAAUUAGAGUUUAUGAUUAUAAACAUGGAGGUAAACGUAUACUACCAUGGCAAGAUAGAGGUUUGUAUUAGAUUUUUAAUUCGCAGUAGGGCUGUUUAAAAUUAUUGUAAUAUGAGUAACAAUAUCCCUUGUGAUAAAAAAAAUUAUAAUUGUUUAAACUGACUAAGGAUCUAUAUUUUACUCAGGACCACAAUUUUGCUCAGUUUAACCUAGAUCAGGGAUCCACAACUAGAUGGGAGAAAUCUGAUGUGCACUUUGACAUCAUAGGCCAAAAUUGCUUAGGAAAACGUAGAUAGAUAAUUAGAUUUGGUUUUUCACUAUUAUUAGUUUUUGAGAACAAUACCUAAAUUAAACACCCUUCUAUUAUAUACUUUUUUCGUAAAAUUCAAUUUAAAACUAAUUUACUUUUAAAUUGUCAGUUAGUUUGGCCAUAAGAUGGAGACCCUUAAUCUAGGCAUGUCACUUCUGUAUUAUUAUUAUUAUUAUUAUUUGUUUUUAUAACAAUACUAUAGUGAACAAAAGUCAUUACAUUUAUUGUAAAUUAAAAAGAUUGGUGACAAUAUUCCAAAUUUGUUCAUAUUUUAUAACCACCUUAUGAUAUUACCACAAUUAUAACGAAUCGUUCGAUUUUCGAAAUGAAAAUUAUUUACUACUACUUCUGUGCAGUCACCAAUAUGAUUUUCUGUAGUAAAACAGAGCAACCUUGUUACAAAGAAGAAAAAUUCUCUGUCAUAAAUUCAUAAGUAAAAGGCAAAUUAUUUCAAAUACAUUUUUUAUAAAUUCUAUCAAUAUUUUAGAUUCUAGACUGGGUUUUAGGUUUAAAUUGAUUAAAAUAUACAGUUACUAAUUCCCUUAAAUUAAAAUGACAAAUGGUUUUAUUCAAAAUAAUAAAUUUGCUUUCGGUUAAUUAUAUGUACAGAUUGUUUCACAAAGAUUGUAAAAACUUUUAUUCUGUUCAAUAGUUUAACGAUUUUUCUUUUUUGUAUUAACUGACUAGAAUAUUUUUUUUUUUUUAAAAAAACACUUAAGAUAAAUUUAAACAUUUAUACUAAAAAAAUUGUUGAUUUAAGAAAUGUUUAUUGAUAAUGAGUUACAUUUUUUCCAUUUCAACUACCAAAUAAUUUCAUAUUUAAUGUUAAUGUAUAACUAUAAUAAAAUCCAAUUAUGAACCAAUGCAAUAACAAUAAUAGGUAAAGGUAAUAAAGAUGUAAUGUAGAAAAAUUAUUUUGGGUAAUUAGAUCUGGGCUAUUAUAAAGAAUGUAAUACCUCUUUAUUGAAUAUUUUUAAGUUUUUUUUUUUUUAAUGUUUAGAAAAACCUAACCUUUGAAAACUUCAACAAUUUUUAAAAAACUAAACGACUCAUCAUUAGUUAACAUUUGUAACAGUUAGACUUCUAACUCACUAGGCAGUCUGGCUGCAUCAGCCAUCCAUGGCCACUGAUAAGCAAUGGUUGAGUAUGCAAUAUGUGACUUGUAAUAAUUAGCCAGUUAGCUGCUGUGCAUUCGUGUACGUUCUGUUUGCUGCUACACCCACAAAUUAAUGGCUAUCUAGUGUGCAAGCUACAAUUAACCGCCAAAUGUCACAUUAGCUGUGUCAGCCAAGUUGCCUAGUGGUUUAGAAGCCUGCAAUUUUUUAAAAUAAAUGUAUUAAUUAACUAUUAUAUUUUGUAUAAAAAAGAAAUUAAAAAUAUUAAACAGAAUACAAGUUAGUGCAUUUGUUACAGUGAUAAUUGAUAUACUUAAAAUAAAAAAUAAUAUUUAAAUGAGUAGCCUGGUCACAAGAACCACUCUUUUAGGUUAGGACACCAUUUGAAAUGGGAUAAAUCAUUUGAAUAACCAUAUAAUAUAUCUAGGUUUGUUAAUUUAUACACAAAUUUCAGGUUUUAGUCGAAGAAAUUCAAAUCAUCCAAGAGAUUUAAAUGAAGAAGGUAAAUAAUUAUAACUAAAUGACAUUUAUAUACAAUGUGUAUUAUAUUUUAUAUAUGAGUUUAUUAUAUUUAAAAUGUAAAUGACUAUUAAAUUUAAUAAUAUUAUUUUCAAUUUUAAAUUGAAAUUAUGUAUAAUAAUAAUAUUUUUAAUUUUUUUUAAGACAACAUUAAUGAUCAAGAUAAAAAUAAAGAAACAUCAACUAAGAAGCCAACAUCAUUUGGGUCACAAGGUAGUUUAUUUUAAAUUAAAGUUGAGAAUAAAUAAAUUAUCAAGCAUAUAAUUAUUAUAUAAUAUUUAGAUAAUUCAUCAGACAUUAAAGAUUUUGAUUUUAAAAAUAAAGCCAAAGAAACUAAAAUGAUUGAAGAAACUACUAUUUUCGAAAUUAAAGAUGACAAAUUUAAAGAAGAUACAUCUAUUCCAGUAGACACUAUUACUAUUAUUGACGAUGAUGAUGUUGAAGAGGAGGAUGUGAUGAUUAUUGAUAAUUUAGAAAAAAGAGAAUUACUACAGUCUGGCAACAAAACAAAUAAUUCCCAUGUCCAUGUGCCAUCUCCACCUAAAAUGUUGCACAAUAUGGAAGUCGAAAAAUCACCUGCUAGAAAAUUGUUAUCUAUUGAUACAUUACUAAGUCCACCUGGUCGGCUUAAUAGACCGGCCAAAAUAGUUAUAAUAAUGAGAGGAUUACCUGGUUCAGGAAAAUCCUACGUUGCGAAGUUAAUCAAAGUUAGUAUAAUAUUAUACAUUUGUAUAUUAUAUUAUAUCAGUGCUUGAAUGAAUAUUGGUAAAAGUAACAAAUAUGUAUGUAUAAUAAGUGUAUGUUUCUGUAGACUUAUUUGAAUUAUUUAAACAAACUAGAUGAGAUAUGAAAUAGUUAAGAAAAAAAGGUAUUCAGUCUUCUCGCAUCUGUCAAUUCAAGUACUGAUUAAUAUUACAUUUUAUUGAGUUAUCUACAUUGUAAUAAAUUUCAUUAGGAGAAAGAAGUAGCAAUGGGUGGACAAGCUCCUAGAGUAUUAUCAUUAGAUGAUUAUUUUAUGACAGAAAUAACUAAGACUGAAAUUAAUCCUGAGACCAAUAAAACAGUGGAAAAAAAGGUAAUAUUGUUUAUAUUGUUAUUCUUGUUUAAACCCAUUAAUAUCUAAAAAAUAUUUAAUUUUCUUACAUUAUCUUACAGGCUAAUUAAAACAUGAAAUGUGGUUGUUAGGUCAAAUACACAUACAUGUUAAAAUUAAAUCAAAAUAAUGUAAUAUUUUUAAUUUUAAUAAUUUAUUUUUAUCUCAGUAAUAUUGUGAUAAAAUGGUUUUACAAUACAUAUUUUUAUAUCACUUGAAAGAUUGGGGUUUCCAUUGCAUUGCGACCCUAACUGUUUUGAUGUUUCCUUGUCAUUAUGUAAUUAUAGUGUCCUUUAUACUUUAACAAAGUCUGUUACUGGUGUAGGUUUUACCAAUAUUUUACUAAUUUUUUUUCUAUCUCGUUUGCCGAUUUCCCAUUGCUUUAUCUAUAGUAGUAGAUCCACAUAUUUUCCUCUAUGCUGUGUUCUCAAAAUGUAUCAAUCUUAAUUCUACUGUUUGGUUAUUGUUUAAGUGUCACGUCUAUGAAUGAAAGUUGUUUCUACUUUGUUUAUAGUUGUCCUAGAUUAGCGGGCAUAGGAUUAAGGAUCAUAAGGGCACCAGAUACACACACCAACAUAAUAUAGCAACCAAACAAACUCUCAUAUAUUUUAACAAUAAAUAAAUACAAUAACAAUUAUAAGUAUCUUAUUGAAACUAUCAAUGAGACCAGUGAUUUUCAACCUGGGGGUUAUGACCGACUAAGGGGUUGCGAAAAAUUAUGGUAUCAUGUAUACCAGCGUUUCCCAACCUUUUUCCCUCGCGGCACACUAAUCCCAACCCAUAUUUAGCCGCGGCACACUUGUCACUUAGUUAUUUAUGUAUACAAAUUUUUUUAUACUAGACUUUCAUCAUAUUAAUUAUUAAUACCAAAAUAGUUGUAUAUCAGUAUAAUAUUUCUAGCAAACAUUUUAAAAUGGUAGGAUAGAAAAAAAUAUUAUUACAAUUAUCCUAAAUAUUUAAUUUAUUGAAAUGGAAAAACAAGAUACAUUACAAUUUUUAUAAAAAACCUAAUCUUAGUGAGAAAUUUGGGACUGUUUUCUCUUCAUUAUUAGGUUCCUUCGUGGUCGAAUGGUUGAUAAGCACACCCUCAUGUCGUCUUCCAAGUUCUUCAGUUUUGAUGGCAUUCAUUGAAGAGAAUGCUCACUAUUCAUAGCAGAACACAUUGAUUAAAUAAUCUUGAUUUCAAAGGUUUACUUUUAAUGAAGUUUACCAUUUUGACAACAGUUUGCAAUACUUCAUUGAGCUCAGGCAUCAAAGAUUUAGCAACGAGAGCUUCUCUAUAUAUGAAGCAGUGAGUGAAAAUAAUAUCCAGGUUUUCUUUCUUAACUAAUGCCAAAAAACCUGUUAAAUGACCAAUCAUUGAAGGGCACCCAUCUGUACAAACACUCAAACAAAAUUUCCAUGAUAUAUUGGCAGUGGUAAAAUAAUUGUUAACCAAAUUAAAAAUAUCUUGUCCUUUUGUAGUUUCAGGAAGGUCUUUACAAAAUAAAAAUUGUUCUAUCAACUCAUUAUCGCAUAUAAAUUUUACGAAUGUCAUGACCUGAGGUUUUCCGGUUACAUCUGUAGACUCAUCUAAUUGAAGGGCAAACAAUUCAGCUGCUUUCAGUUUUUCAUUCACGNUCACCAAACAAAAUUUUAAAGAUUUCACAGCAUGCUGGUAAAAUGGUUGACUCGGCUGUUGUGUGAGAUUUCAUUUUUUUUGCUAUCAGUUCCACGACAGCAUAGCUAGCUUCCUGUGCCUUAUCUGAUACAGUUGAGUGUUUUAUAAACUUUAAAGCCUGUCUGUUUUGAUCUGAGGCUAACCUUUUGAAAAAAUCUAGAGGCUUUUCAGACGCAAAACCAUGUUUUGUAAGCAGGUGCCUUUUCAGCUUACUUGGUACAAUACUUUCAUUAGAUAAUUUUUCAAUACACAUGAGGCAUUGAGGUAUACUAGGUAUAGGCAUUUCUCCACCACUCGACGUGAAAUCAAAUGAUAAAAAGCUUUCGUGAUAUUGUCGAAUAUAAUUUUUUGAUCGUACGUUAGCAUUUUUACUCGCACUCACCUCAACAUUAGGAGGAUUGAAACUAGGACCAGGCAAUUCCUCAACAUCAACUCUAUGAGCACUAUUAGGAUCAGGCAAUUCUUCGCUUAAUUUACGUUUCCUAAUUAAAAAAUGAUCCAUCGUGCGCUACACGUAGUACGAAUGAUAAUCGUAAAGCGAAAAGAAAAAAUUUCCGUUAAAGUAUAACACGGUAAUAAUAAAUGUACUUCAUACGACGACAAACGACUAACUGACAUUUUAACAUUUUAAAUGAAUUAAUAAGAAAUAGUGAACAAUAAGAUAAGAUUCUCCCCGAUAAGAGAAUCGUUAAAACUAUUUUAACCAAUUACUGAAAUUUUACGGAAACUUUUAUUAAUAGUCAUGGCAUUUCGCGGCACACCGGUUGGGAAACCCUGAUGUAUACUGUACAUUAUAUUAUUCAAAUUCUGUUAAACAGUUUUUGAAGAGAUUAUCAAAGAUGUAAACAAAAAAAUUUGGGAUUCGUAAAAGUUUGAAAACUACUAGACUAGGCGUUAAUAUCUAAAUAUUCGAUUGUUUGGUUUUAAACCAGUCUAAAAGUAAAAACUUAUAGAUCUUGCUCAUCACUACUAUCAAGGUCAUGGGGUACUUGAGUCUGCAUCUGAUAUUCUGAUUCUUCAGCUUUCCUGUUCAGCAGUUUAUGCACCAGCCAACAUGGUACACUUGCAUGAAUUUGUGCACUGCUUCCCUCAUACUAUGCCAGAAGAAACACUACUUUAUUAUUGUACUUUACCUACUCUUGAUGGUUUCUUCAUGGUUGUGAAAUCUCCAUACUGAAGAGUUUACUUAUUUUCUCCAGUAUAUUCAGAUCAUUCUAUUGAUUGAAACCUUCAUAUAUCUGCCCGAAAAUGCAUUCUGUUGUCCUUGAAUGUCCUUGUAUAGAUAUGAUCCAAAACAAUUGUGGCCUUACAGUGCCAGAGUUAAAUGUUGGCUCCCCAGUUCAUAGCUUCAUCGAAAUAUUACUUAGUACUGUAUAAAUCUAAAUUUCUUACAGUGAACCACUUUAAUAUGUAAUCAUAUAAUGUCAUACAAUAUUAUAUAAAUUGUCUUGUCUAUAUAAUCAUUAAAUAAUAUUUUGUUUUACUUAGCAUUUUUAUUUAAAUAAAUGUAAUACUAUUAAAAAAUUUAAAGAUAAAAUAUUUGAUACCGAGGAAGAAGGACAUAGGUUAAUUUUAUACAGUUUUAAAUACAAGCAAAUUAAAUUUAAAGUAUAUACACUUAUGCUACUUAACCAAAAAAAAUUACAGAGGAAAAAUUGUCUGAAGUCCUUUUGCCCUAAAAAUGUAUUUAUUUUUUUUUUUCGUAACAUUAUUUUGUGUACUUUAUUGUUUAAGGUUAUGGAAUAUGAAUAUGAUUCUGCUAAUGAAAGUUUAUACCGUACAUCCUUUAUAAAAGCAUUUAAGAAAAAAGUGGUCGAAAAUUUUUUUUCAUUUUUUAUUAUUGAUGCUAUAAAUAAUAAAGUUACAUAUUAUAAAGAUAUACUUGAUAUUUCUAGAAUCAAUGGAUUUACUGUAAGUGUUAUUGAGUCUUUGUGCUAUAUUGUAUGUUUAAAUAUCUUGAUAUAUAUA
Molecule: long non-coding RNA, 9128 nt
Filed under: Cinara cedri
Lineage: Eukaryota; Metazoa; Arthropoda; Insecta; Hemiptera; Aphididae
Source: RNAcentral